Molecule: ribosomal RNA, 497 nt
Filed under: uncultured bacterium
Lineage: Bacteria
Description: partial 16S ribosomal RNA
Rfam family: Bacterial small subunit ribosomal RNA
Source: RNAcentral
GAUGAACGCUGACGGCGUGCCUAAUACAUGCAAGUCGAGCGAACAGACGAGGAGCUUGCUCCUCUGACGUUAGCGGCGGACGGGUGAGUAACACGUGGAUAACCUACCUAUAAGACUGGGAUAACUUAGGGAAACCGGAGCUAAUACCGGAUAAUAUAUUGAACCGCAUGGUUCAAUAGUGAAAGACGGUUUUGCUGUCACUUAUAGAUGGAUCCGCGCCGCAUUAGCUAGUUGGUAAGGUAACGGCUUACCAAGGCAACGAUGCGUAGCCGACCUGAGAGGGUGAUCGGCCACACUGGAACUGAGACACGGUCCAGACUCCUACGGGAGGCAGCAGUAGGGAAUCUUCCGCAAUGGGCGAAAGCCUGACGGAGCAACGCCGCGUGAGUGAUGAAGGUCUUCGGAUCGUAAAACUCUGUUAUUAGGGAAGAACAAAUGUGUAAGUAACUAUGCACGUCUUGACGGUACCUAAUCAGAAAGCCACGGCUAACUACGUG